CCUACGGGAGGCAGCAGUAGGGAAUAUUGGGCAAUGGAGGCAACUCUGACCCAGCCAUGCCGCGUGCAGGAAGAAGGCGUUAUGCGUUGUAAACUGCUUUUAUAUAGGAAGAAAUAGACCUUGCGAGGUAAGUUGACGGUACUAUAUGAAUAAGCACCGGCUAACUCCGUGCCAGCAGCCGCGGUAAUACGGAGGGUGCAAGCGUUGUCCGGAUUUAUUGGGUUUAAAGGGUGCGUAGGCGGUUUAUUAAGUCAGUGGUGAAAGACGGUCGCUCAACGAUUGCAGUGCCAUUGAUACUGGUAGACUUGAGUGGGAUUGAGGUAGCUGGAAUGGAUAGUGUAGCGGUGAAAUGCAUAGAUAUUAUCCAGAACACCAAUUGCGUAGGCAAGUUACUAAGUCUCAACUGGCGCUGAGGCACGAAAGUGUGGGUAUCAAGCAGGAUUAGAUACCCUGGUAGUCCACACUGUAAACGAUGAUAACUAACUGUUGGCUUUCGAGUCAGUGGUACAGAGAAAUCGUUAAGUUAUCCACCUGGGGAGUACGCCGGCAACGGUGAAACGUCAAAUGAAUUGACGG
This 576-nucleotide ribosomal RNA is filed under the name uncultured bacterium. RNAcentral's name for it is "bacterial SSU rRNA". It matches the Rfam family "Bacterial small subunit ribosomal RNA", at positions 338 to 916 of the family's 1533-position model. The record is from RNAcentral.